This is a long non-coding RNA of Olea europaea var. sylvestris, 705 nucleotides long. RefSeq lists it as uncharacterized. NCBI's taxonomy places the organism in Eukaryota, Viridiplantae, Streptophyta, Magnoliopsida, Lamiales, Oleaceae. The record is from RefSeq and is a predicted model, not a curated record. The transcript is spliced from 3 exons.
UGAAGAUCCUGAAAGAUUUAGAAUAGCAAGACAAACGACGUUUGGGAGGCGACAUGUAAACGCUUGUUCAACUACUCCUGCUCACUUGUGGAUUAAAUGCUUUUUCCGGCAAUUCUUCAACUCUGUACCCAAAAUUGACUAUCUCACUUUGCGCCAUGGUUUUAUUUCGGCUCAUUUAUCAACAAACAACUCCUUCAAUUUCCAAAAGUACAUACAACGAUCAUUGGAAGCCGAUUUCAAAGCAGUUGUUGGCAUAAGGUAAUGCAAUUUCACUAAUGAAUGCUGCAGUGAACAGGAUGGAAAAUUUCAGGUUUCUAAUUAAUAUUUUGAUCGGUUCUUGAUAAUUAGGAGUUUUUCCAAAUAUAUCAAACCAAAUUUUCAUCUUAAAAUGUCAAUCUUGUUAGAAGUAGUAUACAAACUUUUACGUGUCAGUUAUUUAUUUUAAAUGUGGGAGCUCAUGCCCAAACAUAUGCCCCCACAAGGUGGUAUUUUGUUUGAAAACACUAAUCUUAAAAUCUACUGCUCGUUUGAUUAGUAAUCGAAUCGAAUUGACCACAAGAUAGUUUUUCAUUUGAAAACACUAAUGGAAUCUGUGUACUCAUUUGAUUAUUAAUCAGAUUGAAUUGCUUAUUUGAAUUUAUCAUAUUCUAAUAUCAUAUUUUGAGGAUAUUUAAGAGUUGCUAUUUUAAAAGUGCAUGUUUUGUA